Molecule: microRNA, 21 nt
Filed under: anatid alphaherpesvirus 1
Lineage: Duplodnaviria; Heunggongvirae; Peploviricota; Herviviricetes; Herpesvirales; Orthoherpesviridae
Description: dev-miR-D15-3p
Gene: dev-miR-D15-3p
Source: miRBase by way of RNAcentral
CGAGCGUGGGCAAGGUACCAG